Molecule: ribosomal RNA, 497 nt
Filed under: uncultured bacterium
Lineage: Bacteria
Description: partial 16S ribosomal RNA
Rfam family: Bacterial small subunit ribosomal RNA
Source: RNAcentral
GAUGAACGCUGGCGGCGUGCCUAAUACAUGCAAGUCGAGCGAACAGACGAGGAGCUUGCUCCUCUGACGUUGGCGGCGGACGGGUGAGUAACACGUGGAUAACCUACCUAUAAGACUGGGAUAACUUCGGGAAACCGGAGCUAAUACCGGAUAACAUGUUGAACCGCAUGGUUUAACAGUGAAAGACGGUCUUGCUGUCACUUAUAGAUGGAUCCGCGCCGCAUUAGCUAGUUGGUAAGGUAACGGCUUACCAAGGCAACGAUGCGUAGCCGACCUGAGAGGGUGAUCGGCCACACUGGAACUGAGACACGGUCCAGACUCCUACGGGAGGCAGCAGUAGGGAAUCUUCCGCAAUGGGCGAAAGCCUGACGGAGCAACGCCGCGUGAGUGAAGAAGGUCUUCGGAUCGUAAAACUCUGUUAUUAGGGAAGAACAAAUGUGUAAGUAACUAUGCACGUCUUGACGGUACCUAAUCAGAAAGCCACGGCUAACUACGUG